Molecule: unclassified non-coding RNA, 250 nt
Filed under: Hevea brasiliensis (rubber tree)
Lineage: Eukaryota; Viridiplantae; Streptophyta; Magnoliopsida; Malpighiales; Euphorbiaceae
Source: RNAcentral
GAAGCUUGUUGGAACAUUCAAGGGUUGAGCCUGUAUACUGAGAGCUUGUGGCCAUUUUGAUAUGUAAGGGGUUUGCAUUUCCAAGCGAAUUCGUACAAGCUUUGCUAUCCGCUCACUAGGUAUUAAGUUAUUCAGAUCGUUCCUUGAUUCAAUGAUAUCAAUGAGUCUUUCCAGACACUCGUCCAUAAAAUACUCCACUAGUGCAGCUUCUUUCCGAGGAAAUGAUCCAACAAUGGAAGGUGACACUCCG